RNAcentral lists this ribosomal RNA (468 nucleotides) under uncultured bacterium. RNAcentral's name for it is "partial 16S ribosomal RNA". It matches the Rfam family "Bacterial small subunit ribosomal RNA", at positions 28 to 507 of the family's 1533-position model. The record is from RNAcentral.
GACGAACGCUGGCGGCGUGCUUAACACAUGCAAGUCGAACGGCAAGGCCCUGCUUUUGUGGGGUGCUCGAGUGGCGAACGGGUGAGUAACACGUGAGUAACCUGCCCUUGACUUUGGGAUAACUUCAGGAAACUGGGGCUAAUACCGGAUAGGAGCUCCUGCUGCAUGGAGGGGGUUGGAAAGUUUCGGCGGUUGGGGAUGGACUCGCGGCUUAUCAGCUUGUUGGUGGGGUAGUGGCUUACCAAGGCUUUGACGGGUAGCCGGCCUGAGAGGGUGACCGGCCACAUUGGGACUGAGAUACGGCGCAGACGCCUACGGGAGGCAGCAGUGGGGAAUAUUGCACAAUGGGCGGAAGCCUGAUGCAGCAACGCCGCGGGCGGGAUGACGGCCUUCGGGUUGUAAACCGCUUUCGCCUGUGACGAAGCGUGAGUGACGGUAAUGGGUAAAGAAGCACCGGCUAACUACGUG